This 285-nucleotide long non-coding RNA is filed under the name Linum usitatissimum (flax). RNAcentral's name for it is "long non-coding RNA (LUSI_LNC000886)". The record is from RNAcentral. Lineage: Eukaryota; Viridiplantae; Streptophyta; Magnoliopsida; Malpighiales; Linaceae.
GCUUUUCAAUCAGCGUAAAGUAUUAGGGAUUUUAUGGGAUGGCUUUUCUAUCCAUUGUGGAUUUUACUAAUAUUGAGGAUAAGUUCCAGCUGCUUGCUUGAUCACCAUGUUCAUUGUUCAAAGCAAUAUUGGUCCCCCCUUUCUAAUCUUUUUCAGCUGUAACUAAUUUGUCUUCCUCCACCCUUUGGCACUAUCAAUAUCUCUGUGGCUUUUGCCUUUGUUUCAUCACUUUGAAACUAUGUCUGCCUGUUACCCGCAUAGGUAUGGAUUGCCAUCAACACUUGG